UGAUGAUGAUGAUGAUAACGAUGAUGUGGAUAAUGGUAAUAGUGAUGGUGGCAGUGAUGACAAUGGAUAGCAGUGCUGGUUGUUGAUUCAAGUCAUUAUAUACUAAGCACCUACUAUGUGCUAGUCACCGUGCUAGGUUCUGGGGAUACAAAGGCAAAAAUUUAAAUGUCACUGUUCUCAAGGGGCCCACAUUCUACUAGGGGGAAACAAAAGACACAAGAUCUGAAAGGGAGGCUGGCUCCAUGACAAUAACUUGAGGAGCUAGUUUCCCUCUAGGAGAUGUGGAAAGAAUUGGAAAACAGGGAGUCAUUGCAUCUCCAAGCUCUGCAGCAAUUUUGAUCUUUGAGGUUUGCAGUUUUUCCUGUGCCUUCCUUCACUUGAAACCCACAACAAUCCUGUAAGGUAGGUACUGCAAAUAUUAUUAUCCCUAUUCUACAGGAAACUGAGAUUGAGGAAUGCUAAAUGACUUGCCAGUUAGUAAGCAGAAUUGGAACCCAGGUCUUCCAGAUUCCUGCAGCUGAGUUCUAUUUACUGUCAACCUUCACACACAUUAUAUAGUACCUAGCACAGUACGGUGCACUUGACCAGAAAUGAAUGAAUACUUUCUGAAUGCAUGAAAUGAAUCAAUGAAUGAACCAAUGAAUGCAUUGUGGAUAACUGAAAACUGAUUGUAAACACUGGCAUCCCCUCCCAGCCCAGGCUGGCCUUUCUAACCCAUAAACUUCAGAACUUUAAAGAGGAAUAGAGGGUCCAGGACCUAUGGAAUCUGUCUCAGUCACAUUCACAUCACUGAGGUGGGGAGGAGUUCUCACCCAAGUUAAAUGGCAAAAUGAAUACUCUUGCUCCAAUCUCAGAGCAGAACCCAGACUCAUUCUCUUUCUGGAAAAUUCUAUGCCCAGAAAACUUCUCCAGUCCUAGUUGGACACUGUAUGUUUAUCAUUUGGCGAAUGUACACCAAGAUCAAUUAAUUAGUAGUUCAGUACUUGUGACAACAUUCUAUUCUCAGCCUAAUCAUUCAUCCAUGAGAUGAGUCGCUCUAAGCACACCAGAAGGGGGUUUCUGGAGCUUACUUUAUGACUGCACUUUGGGUUUAUUCUUAUUCCCAAACUAAAGGUUAGGGGUUGUAACACCUCUUUGAUGUGCUAUCAGCUCCAAAAGAGGACAGAAGCAGAAAGUAGCCAAAUAAAUGUAGAAGCAAACACAUUAAACUGAUGGUGGACUUUAGCUUUACCAAAUGUGCACUUCUAAGAAUAACUCAAAUUUGGGUAGACAGUAAGGCAUGCAAAAGCCUACGAAAUGUAUGAGAUUAGUGCUAGAAUAAUCAUCCCCAUUUAACAGAUGACAACUGAAAAGGGAAGGGAUUUAGUCCAUAGUCACAUAGCAAGUAAGUCCCUUAGACAUGUUGAAACCCAGUUCUCUUGAUUCCAGAUUCCGAAGCCAGAGUUCUUUCCACAACUCCUCAUUCUAUAUCCGGGAUAUAUUUUUCACCAAAGCUUCGUUUAAUCCAACUCAAUCUAAAUUUCCUUUUUUGUUGUUUUUUUAAACCCUACCUUCUGUCUUAGAAUCAAUACUAAGUAUCUGUUCCAAGGCAGAAGAGCUGUAAGGGCUAGGCAAUGGGGGUUAAGUGACUUGUUUGUGGUCACACAGCUAGGAAGUACAUGGGGUCAGAUUUGAACCUGGGAUCUCCCAUCUCCAGACUUGGCACUCUAUCCACUGAAGCACCUAGCCACCCCCUAAGCUUCCUUUUCAGAAAGAAGGAAGAGGCUGAGACAUUAAAGGCAAACCUCAUCACCAAUGGAGGACUGAGACAGCAAACAUAAAUUAGAUGCGUAGGGACCCCCAAAUUUGCACUUGUACCAUCUGUCUCUACCUGUCACACCACAUCUUGAACACCAGAAUUGCUAAUGAGGAACUCAAAAGAGCCAGGGAGACAGGGGAGAGAACCCAUGAUGGAUGGGAACAAAGGAAAAGAGUGAUUUGGUCCAAAGCAUAGUUGGAGAGACAGGCAGGAAGGGGAUGAUGAGAUACACAAAGAGACAUGCACUCCCCCCCCCACCUACACUUACCACCUGGCAAAGAGCAAGAUAACGGAAAGAGGGGAUCCCGGAGCAGACAGAGAGAAGAGGGAGAAAAUAAUGAGAAGGCUCUAGUUGUGUCAAGGGCGCCAGGCCAGGGUCUUGCCUGUCCAGGGCACCCACUGUCCAGCCAGGCAUAAGGUACUGUGGAUCCCAGAGGGUCCACGCACCUUACUUAGCUCAUGAGCCCCACAGCAGGAAAAUGAGAACAGACCGGUAGUUAGACAUGAGAAAGAGACCAGAGUUUCAGAGUGAAGUCAUCUCAGUUCCAGCAGAGGCCCCUGGCAGUUCUCUAUUCUAGCUAGCCUGCCAAAUUGAGGAGAUCAACUUUGGGCUUCAUAGAAUCAAGUGGAUCUGGCCAGCUCUGGGGUGACCUCACAACUGGGACCAGUUGGGUUUUCCAUCAAAAUGCUCUUAGGAGGCUUUUUUCAUCCAUCCUCAGAAUCUCUGCCUCACCACAAACAAGAGUCAGGAACCUAGGGACAUGCCUGCCCAUUUCACAGAUUCUCGGAGAAGGGCAACUGAGGUCACACAGAAAGUCAAGAACCCAGGCUUCCCAAUUCCCAGUUCUAUCUACAAGGAACCCUAUAUUAAAAUGUGGCACCCGAUGAGUAGGAAGAAGAGAAAGGAAAAGAGAACAAAGGGGAAGAAUAAGAGCUAAUACUUAUAUAGCACUUUAAGGGUUACAAAGUGCUUCCUGCACAUUUCAGAUUUGAUCCUCACGAUGAUCCCCAUUUACAGAUUAGGAAACUAAAACAGAGGUUAACUGAUUUGUUCAUCAGUCACAUAGCUAGUUAGUGGUGGAAGUCAGAUUCCACUCUGGGCCUUCCUGGCCCCACAUUCUUUCUAGAUAAGAAGUUGAAACUGCAACCUGCCUAACGCUCUGUGGCUUUUUUCAAUGUCUUGGGCAUGGCCACCACUAGCUGCCAAAUUUUUCCCUUAUCCCAGAGGUUGAGCAAGAGCCUCAGAGUCAGUAAGUAGCAGGGAUCUGGCCCCUGAGGAUACCCCAUCCUGCCCUCCAUCCUGUUUCCUGGAAUCUCUGUCUCAACACCUCCAGGAGAGAGAGAGACAGCUAAUACCCAUCACCCCAAGGGAAUCCACCAACCACUUGUAUCUUGGCCAAGGCUCACCUGCCCUCCCAGGGAGUUGGAGGGGGGACACAGAGGAGCCCCACACAGGCUCCCUGGGCCGGUCCAGACCUGCAUCUUCCUUCUGCAUGCUGGCCUUUGCCUUUAUCCAUCCCCCACCCCCCCCACCCUUGUCUCCCUUCUCUUCUUCCCCAUCUGCACUUACAUGUCCAUGCAAGUCCGUGUUGAGCAGCAUCAGGGCACAGGUAAGCGUGUGAAUCCCAUCUGAAACACAGCAGAGGCAGGUGGCCCUCAGCCUUGGGUCCCUUCCCUUUCCUGUUACCCAGGGCACCUGGACGGCAAUACAAUUUAGGGAGCUGUCUCCUCGAGGAAGACACACCCUCAGGUCACCUUGAGUAAAGUAGGACUAAAAUUGGGUUGCUUCGGCUUGUUGGAAGGGGAUGAGAGGUUGGUCCAAGAAUGCCCAGGACAGACAGAGAGGACAGAUGGAAAAAGCAGACAAGGCAGAAAAACAGAAAGUACAAUCGAAACAAUAUACAUUCUGGGGGCAACUGCAUGGUUCAGUGGAUUGAGAGCCACACCCAGAGACUGGAGGUCCUGGGUUCAAAUGUGACCUCUGACACUUCCUAGCUGUGACCCUGGACAGUCACUGCCUAGCCCUUACUGCUUUUCUGCCUUGAAAUCAAUGCAUAGUUGAUUGUAAGAUGGAAGCUAAGGAUUUAUAUGUAUAUGCAUUUUGAUUAAAAUGAUGGGUUUCUUAAACUAUGCAGAAAAAGCCCCUGAAUUUAGAAUAACUCCAAAGAGCAAUACCAAAUCUAGAAAUCAAAUGACUACAAAUGCCCAAUAUGGAAGACAUUGAGAGGCAGUUUCUGAGUUGGCUUUGCCUUGGCUGGCUUUCUUUGUAUAAUAGAGGCGAUUGGGGAACCCCUAACUUGCUGAACCAGGGGUCCCUCCCAUGGAGCUGCAUUUGCCUUCGGGCCUCCUGCUGAGAGGACACCCACGAGCUUUUCCAGGAUGACACAGCAGCUUCUGGGGGAAGGGGUGAAAGACGAUUGGACACCAGGAUUUUGUGAGUCAGGAGGCUGCACCAAUCAGGCUAUAAGAGCUCGGGAAACAGCUUCAUCACUGUGCCUCUUUUUUUCUAGCACUUUCUCUCCCUUGGACUUCCAGCAAAGGGAGGGGGGAGAAAUAAAGAAGAUUUCUCUCCCCUCCCUCUCCUAGGCAAUGACCAAAUGACAGAUUGCAACUCAAGCACUGGGGGAGUGCUUGCUUAGGCUAGAAGGAGGCUGGACCCUGGCUGCCUUCUUUUGGUCCCUCUGUCCCUCCCCUGGAGCAAUGCUUGGCAACCAGCAAUCUGGACAAAUGGCAAUGCCAGCCUUGGCAGUGACAUCUAGGGUCAAGAUUUCUUGAGUUUGGGAUUCGGGCAUCAGCUAACUAGAGGGAGGAGCUUCCCACCGAGGCAUGGUACUUCUCAGAGGAGAAGAGCGCCACCCACAGGCAUCUUCAGGCUAAAGAAAGCCAUGACCCACCAGCCUGGAGAUUUGGACUGGCCAAGCACCUCAGGCCCUGAAGAUAAUGAGAAACAUCUGUCGGGCCAUUCCACAUGGAGGUGAUGAGUGCAAUGGGCUUUCCAACGUCUUUUACGUUUCUAUAUUGAUUCAACACCGAGUUAUUUGUUCCUUGUGCAAUGUCUGUGAUGGGAAAAAUAAAUUUUUGUCCUAUGCAUGAUA
Monodelphis domestica (gray short-tailed opossum) is the source of this 4893-nucleotide non-coding RNA. Lineage: Eukaryota; Metazoa; Chordata; Mammalia; Didelphimorphia; Didelphidae. The record is from RefSeq and is a predicted model, not a curated record.